UACGAAGGGGGCUAGCGUUGCUCGGAAUCACUGGGCGUAAAGGGUGCGUAGGCGGGUCUUUAAGUCAGGGGUGAAAUCCUGGAGCUCAACUCCAGAACUGCCUUCGAUACUGCGGGUCUCGAGUCCGGGAGAGGUGAGUGGAAUUCCUAGUGUAGAGGUGAAAUUCGUAGAUAUUAGGAAGAACACCGAUGGCGAAGGCAGCCAUCUGGACCGACACUGACGCUGAGGCGCGAAAGCGUGGGGAGCAAACAGG
This 253-nucleotide ribosomal RNA is filed under the name uncultured bacterium. RNAcentral describes it as "partial 16S ribosomal RNA". It matches the Rfam family "Bacterial small subunit ribosomal RNA", at positions 524 to 776 of the family's 1533-position model. The record is from RNAcentral.